Molecule: ribosomal RNA, 468 nt
Filed under: uncultured bacterium
Lineage: Bacteria
Description: partial 16S ribosomal RNA
Rfam family: Bacterial small subunit ribosomal RNA
Source: RNAcentral
GACGAACGCUGGCGGCGUGCUUAACACAUGCAAGUCGAACGGAAAGGCCCUGCUUUUGUGGGGUGCUCGAGUGGCGAACGGGUGAGUAACACGUGAGUAACCUGCCCUUGACUUUGGGAUAACUUCAGGAAACUGGGGCUAAUACCGGAUAGGAGCUCCUGCUGCAUGGUGGGGGUUGGAAAGUUUCGGCGGUUGGGGAUGGACUCGCGGCUUAUCAGCUUGUUGGUGGGGUAGUGGCUUACCAAGGCUUUGACGGGUAGCCGGCCUGAGAGGGUGACCGGCGAAGUGGGACUUGGAAACGGCCCCAGCCUCCUGGGGGGGGCAGCAGGGGGAAGUGUAGCAAAGGGGGCGGAAGCCUGAGGCAGAACCGCCGGGUGGGGAAGGACGUCCUGCGGUUUAGAAACGGUUUUCGCUGGGGACAAAGGGGGGGUGACGGUAAUGGGUAAAGAAGCACCGGCUAACUACGUC